Long non-coding RNA from Glycine soja, 389 nucleotides. RefSeq lists it as uncharacterized. The transcript is spliced from 3 exons. The record is from RefSeq and is a predicted model, not a curated record. Lineage: Eukaryota; Viridiplantae; Streptophyta; Magnoliopsida; Fabales; Fabaceae.
AUUUGAUUCGAUUCCUCAAAUCACACAACCCACCGUGUGUUCUGAGCUAGAGUACUAAAUGGAUGAGGAAGAAUGUCUUAGAAGUACCAGUAUUGGAGGAUAUCCAUGCUUUGAAAGAUGAAGCUGUUAUGUACCAAAAGAAAGAACGAGGAUAUUCGCAUGACAUAGCUAGGCUUUCAUUGCAAACCUAGUUCCAAGCUUGAAGGCUGCGGCAACUAGCAAGUAUCAUUUUUAAUCAGAUCCUAUGAUGUAACACUUGAAUUUACCAUCUUUCCCAAGUUUUGCUCUCGAAUUCCAAAAUUUACACUACUCAUUUCCCCCUGUAGUUUUCUUUCAUUAGUGUCUUCUGUAUUACAUUUGAUAUUUUAACAUGUUCUUUUCCACUUAUA